RNAcentral lists this ribosomal RNA (667 nucleotides) under Salmonella enterica subsp. enterica serovar Infantis. RNAcentral's name for it is "partial 23S ribosomal RNA". It matches the Rfam family "Bacterial large subunit ribosomal RNA", at positions 2259 to 2925 of the family's 2925-position model. Lineage: Bacteria; Pseudomonadati; Pseudomonadota; Gammaproteobacteria; Enterobacterales; Enterobacteriaceae. RNAcentral also lists the same sequence under 4 other names. The record is from RNAcentral.
UGGUGGGUAGUUUGACUGGGGCGGUCUCCUCCUAAAGAGUAACGGAGGAGCACGAAGGUUGGCUAAUCCUGGUCGGACAUCAGGAGGUUAGUGCAAUGGCAUAAGCCAGCUUGACUGCGAGCGUGACGGCGCGAGCAGGUGCGAAAGCAGGUCAUAGUGAUCCGGUGGUUCUGAAUGGAAGGGCCAUCGCUCAACGGAUAAAAGGUACUCCGGGGAUAACAGGCUGAUACCGCCCAAGAGUUCAUAUCGACGGCGGUGUUUGGCACCUCGAUGUCGGCUCAUCACAUCCUGGGGCUGAAGUAGGUCCCAAGGGUAUGGCUGUUCGCCAUUUAAAGUGGUACGCGAGCUGGGUUUAGAACGUCGUGAGACAGUUCGGUCCCUAUCUGCCGUGGGCGCUGGAGAACUGAGGGGGGCUGCUCCUAGUACGAGAGGACCGGAGUGGACGCAUCACUGGUGUUCGGGUUGUCAUGCCAAUGGCACUGCCCGGUAGCUAAAUGCGGAAGAGAUAAGUGCUGAAAGCAUCUAAGCACGAAACUUGCCCCGAGAUGAGUUCUCCCUGAGACUUAGAGUCUCCUGAAGGAACGUUGAAGACGACGACGUUGAUAGGCCGGGUGUGUAAGCGCAGCGAUGCGUUGAGCUAACCGGUACUAAUGAACCGUGAGGCUUA